AUUGAACGCUGGCGGCAUGCUUUACACAUGCAAGUCGAACGGCAGCGCGGGCUUCGGCCUGGCGGCGAGUGGCGAACGGGUGAGUAAUGCAUCGGAACGUGCCCAGUAGUGGGGGAUAGCCCGGCGAAAGCCGGAUUAAUACCGCAUACGACCUGCGGGUGAAAGCGGGGGACCGAAAGGCCUCGCGCCAUUGGAGCGGCCGAUGUCGGAUUAGCUAGUUGGUGGGGUAAAGGCUUACCAAGGCGACGAUCCGUAGCUGGUCUGAGAGGACGACCAGCCACACUGGGACUGAGACACGGCCCAGACUCCUACGGGAGGCAGCAGUGGGGAAUUUUGGACAAUGGGGGCAACCCUGAUCCAGCCAUGCCGCGUGCGGGAAGAAGGCCUUCGGGUUGUAAACCGCUUUUGUUCGGGAAGAAAUCCUCUGGGCUAAUACCCCGGGGGGAUGACGGUACCGGAAGAAUAAGCACCGGCUAACUACGUG
Molecule: ribosomal RNA, 484 nt
Filed under: uncultured bacterium
Lineage: Bacteria
Description: partial 16S ribosomal RNA
Rfam family: Bacterial small subunit ribosomal RNA
Source: RNAcentral